Molecule: ribosomal RNA, 386 nt
Filed under: uncultured bacterium
Lineage: Bacteria
Description: bacterial SSU rRNA
Rfam family: Bacterial small subunit ribosomal RNA
Source: RNAcentral
CGGUAAUACGGAGGAUGCAAGCGUUAUCCGGAAUGAUUGGGCGUAAAGGGUCCGCAGGUGGCUAUGUAAGUCUGCUGUUAAAGAAUCUAGCUCAACUAGAUAAAAGCAGUGGAAACUACAAGGCUAGAGUGCGUUCGGGGUAGAGGGAAUUCCUGGUGUAGCGGUGAAAUGCGUAGAUAUCAGGAAGAACACCAGUGGCGAAGGCGCUCUACUAGGCCGCAACUGACACUGAGGGACGAAAGCUAGGGGAGCGAAUGGGAUUAGAUACCCCAGUAGUCCUAGCCGUAAACGAUGGAUACUAGGCGUGGCUCGUAUCGACCCGAGCCGUGCCGGAGCUAACGCGUUAAGUAUCCCGCCUGGGGAGUACGCACGCAAGUGUGAAACUC